This 253-nucleotide ribosomal RNA is filed under the name uncultured bacterium. RNAcentral's name for it is "partial 16S ribosomal RNA". It matches the Rfam family "Bacterial small subunit ribosomal RNA", at positions 524 to 776 of the family's 1533-position model. The record is from RNAcentral.
UACGGAGGGGGCUAGCGUUGUUCGGAAUUACUGGGCGUAAAGCGCGCGUAGGCGGAUCUGCAAGUCGGGGGUGAAAUCCCGAGGCUCAACCUCGGAACUGCCUUCGAUACUGCGGGUCUCGAGUCCGGGAGAGGUGAGUGGAAUUCCUAGUGUAGAGGUGAAAUUCGUAGAUAUCGGGAGGAACACCGGUGGCGAAGGCGACCAUCUGGACGGAUACUGACGCUGAGACGCGAAAGCGUGGGUAGCAAACAGG